GACGAACCGUGCGAACGUUAUUCGGAAUCACUGGGCUUAAAGCGCGUGUAGGCGGGACGGCACGUCGGUCGCUGAAAGCCCCCGGCUCAACCGGGGAACGGGCGCCGAUACGACCGUCCUGGAGGGACGUAGGGGGACCUGGAACUUCCGGUGGAGCGGUGAAAUGCGUUGAGAUCGGAAGGAACGCCCGUGGCGAAAGCGAGGUCCUGGACGCCUACUGACGCUGAGACGCGAAAGCUAGGGGAGCAAACGGG
This 254-nucleotide ribosomal RNA is filed under the name uncultured bacterium. RNAcentral's name for it is "partial 16S ribosomal RNA". It matches the Rfam family "Bacterial small subunit ribosomal RNA", at positions 524 to 776 of the family's 1533-position model. The record is from RNAcentral.